Molecule: long non-coding RNA, 469 nt
Organism: Erinaceus europaeus (western European hedgehog)
Lineage: Eukaryota; Metazoa; Chordata; Mammalia; Eulipotyphla; Erinaceidae
Exons: 4
Source: RefSeq, a predicted model, not a curated record
UUAGAAAGGGAACUCAGGCUUUGGGAGAUCACCUUUAAUGUUGGGGAAAUAACACCUUGAGAACCUCAUGUCGUGCCCCAUGUCUUGGUUCAUGAGGAUGCCUGCAUUUCAAACUUUCCAUCUGGGUUCAAUUUCCUUCGAGAAAAGGCAGAAGUAUAGAGAAGAACCUUGAGCGGACAUGGAGCAGAGUACUGGAAAUCAGCAAAUCCCGAGGCCGUGAAGACAAAGCUACUCACCAACUGAUCUUCCUUUUAUCCACAGUUUACAUCAACUGCGGAUGCAGAGGACAACCACACUCUGAAGUAAGCUGCAGAGCCAACAAUCAACGGCAGCCAAGACUCCACGGUGCACAGCUGGGUUUGCCUAGACGCCAGGCACUUGCAGAAAAGUCUUGAUGGGCAGUGAGGGCCAGGCUGAGCGCGUGGUGCUGGGACUGCACUGUCAGCCAUCACCUUGCCUGAGAGCAGCC